GAAAUGCGAUAAGUAAUGUGAAUUGCAGAAUUCAGUGAAUCAUCGAAUCUUUGAACGCACCUUGCGCUCCUUGGUAUUCCUUGGAGCAUGCCUGUUUGAGUAUCAUGAAAUCUUCAAAGUAAAUCUUUUGUUAACUCAAUUGGUUUCUACUUUGGUAUUGGAGGUCUUUGCAGCUUCACACCUGCUCCUCUUUGUUCAUAGCUGGAUCUCAGUGUUAUGCUUGGUUCCACUCGGCGUGAUAAGUUAUCUAUCGCUGAGGACACUGUAAAAGGUGGCCAAGGUAAAUGCAGAUGAACCGCUUCUAAUAGUCCAUUGACUUGGACAAUACUUUUAUGAUCUGAUCUCAAAUCAGGUAGGACUACGCGCUGAACUUAAGC
This 377-nucleotide unclassified non-coding RNA is filed under the name plant metagenome. RNAcentral describes it as "partial contains 5.8S ribosomal RNA, internal transcribed spacer 2, and large subunit ribosomal RNA". The stretch from base 1 to 105 matches the Rfam family "5.8S ribosomal RNA", at positions 50 to 154 of the family's 154-position model. The record is from RNAcentral.